ACGAACGCUGGCGGCGUGCUUAACACAUGCAAGUCGAACGAGAGGACAAGAGAAGCUUGCUCUUUUGGAAUCGAGUGGCAAACGGGUGAGUAACACGUAAACAACCUGCCUUCAGGAUGGGGACAACAGACGGAAACGACUGCUAAUACCGAAUAAGUUCCAAGAGCCGCAUGGCCCAUGGAAGAAAAGGUGGCCUCUACCUGUAAGCUAUCGCCUGAAGAGGGGUUUGCGUCUGAUUAGCUGGUUGGAGGGGUAACGGCCCACCAAGGCGACGAUCAGUAGCCGGUCUGAGAGGAUGAACGGCCACACUGGAACUGAGACACGGUCCAGACUCCUACGGGAGGCAGCAGUGGGGAAUCUUCCGCAAUGGGCGAAAGCCUGACGGAGCAACGCCGCGUGAGUGAUGACGGCCUUCGGGUUGUAAAACUCUGUGAUCCGGGACGAAAAGGCAGAGUGCGAAGAACAAACUGCAUUGACGGUACCGGAAAAGCAAGCCACGGCUAACUACGUG
Molecule: ribosomal RNA, 511 nt
Filed under: uncultured bacterium
Lineage: Bacteria
Description: bacterial SSU rRNA
Rfam family: Bacterial small subunit ribosomal RNA
Source: RNAcentral